Molecule: non-coding RNA, 2384 nt
Organism: Anas platyrhynchos (mallard)
Lineage: Eukaryota; Metazoa; Chordata; Aves; Anseriformes; Anatidae
Source: RefSeq, a predicted model, not a curated record
GAAAUGAAACCAGGCUCUUCCAGGAUAUGUUCCCAGCUCUCCUAAAGAAGCAGAUCCAUUAGGCACUGUCAAUAGUGCCUUCUCAUUGCCUCUGAUGGCUCUGUUUCUACUCUUGCCUGGCAGCUCACAGCUGGAAGAUGUUAAAAGGGUAGGAUAGCUGAAAUUUAGUGGUCUUCAGACACCCAAAAUGAACUCCUUUAGGUCAAAUAUAAUUCAUACUAAGAAACAGGAUUUUGAGCCCUCUGCUGAGAAGCUCCUGGGAAGGACAGAUCAUUUCUAUAGAAUAGCAGUGGCUUGGUUUGUUAACAUGAGAGGUAAUAGAAGUGCAGCUAUACGGGGAGAUCCUGAAAGUAGCCCUACAGUAAGAGAACUCAGAAUAUAGGUUGUAUUUUGAGCUCAGACUAAUUGUACACAACCCGAUAACUGGGGUUAUGACUGACUAUGAUGGUGUCCUUCCUAGUUUAUUCACACAUAAGCUCCAAAUCAGGUCCUGUAUUUCCUGCAUAAUCUAUAAGCAGUGUCACUAGAAUGUGGCUACAGACAUCUCCCCCCACAUCCACUGGGCAUCACCACUGAGGACCUUGACCCAGUGUCACACACUCUGGGUGCCACUCACAAGAGCAAGGUAGGAAGGAAGAUGUGCUUUGAAAACCUUUGAAAGCACUUAGACUAACUUGCUUCUUCUGGAAAUCAAACCUAUGUGGUCUUAUUAAUUAGAAUGUAGAUUUAUUAGACAGUAAUGUGAUGACAAAAGUCAUUGAAGGAGAAGAGAGAAAAAAUAUCUUCAGGGAGCAUAUACUAGAAAGAUUAAAGACACUGUGAGCGAAAAACAGUUCUGUUUUCUCUUUCCCAGAGCACUUGCCUUGUGCUGUCAUUAUGCUUGCCAAGGCUUGCAAGGAUUGCCAACAUCUCCCUGCAGCCAUCGCAUCUCUUUAUAUUGACAGAGGAUAAAACCACACCUGAGCUCACACUAUUUCAGGCAUUUUCCUUGGAAAUUUUUGUCUCUGUUGCACAAACAUUUCAUUUAGAGGAAGUGGGAGGAAAUCUGCCUUUGGAUAAUAAUGGUUACGAUACAAUAACUGUAAAAUGGAUAAUAACAGCAACCGACUAGUACUGGCCAGGGGGCUGAUAAUUCAACUUUGCGGCAACUUCUGAGGUUUUACAAUUUGUUUUCAUUUUACAGUGGAAUGAAAACAGAACCUUCACAUAUUAUGUUUUCAAUUUAAGUCUUUCUUGCUGCACUGUCAGAAAUAACUAGAGUGCCCUGGACCUCAAGAAUUUGUCCUUCCAAGUAUUUAAAAAAUGCUUCAACUUCCAUGAAUCAGCAAUUUUCUUGGUGGGAUAGUUCAUCGAAAAUGCUCUGGCCAGAACUUUUGCUAACCCUGAAAGUUCAAAAUCAUGUCUCAAACCCCAAAACAUAGUUGCUAUGAAUAACUUGUUUUAUGGUUUACGGAUUGUUUCUGGACUGUCUUCUCUUAAGUAUACCUUUUCCCUCCAUCCUCUAAAGAUGUACAUCUGUUUCCCACCCUCCUCCACUAUUUUCUCCCAUUUUCUUGUGCUUUUAUUUUUUCUCAUGCAGCUUCUGGGCUCUUUUGACCUUUCCUAGGUUACACACAAACAGCAAUGCUGAGAUAUAUUUUUUUUAUGGUAUGCUGUGGCAGGGAUUUGCCAGGAAAGCGGUGGCUGCUGGACGGUCUCUGCAACAGAUAGUGGUCACUGCAGGGUGGUCCCACUACCUUCCUGCAAAUCCCUGUCUGGCUGCUCUUUGGUUUUCAUUCUUCUCAGAUGGCAUUUUCCAUCAGGCAGAGCUGACAUCCGUGAGAAGGCAGAAACAUCUGCUGUUAUGCCCUGGCCGGCUGCCGCCCUCACCAGCUCAGCAGUGCUUGAGGAAAUCCGAAGAGCCACACGGUGGGAAGACCCUAUUCUUCAGAGAAAAAGAAAAAGAAAAGGAAAAAAAAAAGAAAAAGAAAAAGCAGAGUGGAAAAUAAAUAUGCAGAAAAGGAAAUGCAUUGAUUCAUUCUGAAAGAUGGAGGGAACAGCAGAAAGGGGAUCAAGAGCUGGAAUGAUUUCAUGUGAUGCAAGGUACAAGUGGUGCUGCUCACGGAAUGGGUCUCAAGCAACCGGGCCCCAGAGUUAGAAAAGGACCUUGACUCUACGCCUAGUUAUUGGAGGAAAACACACGGAGGUAAGCCAGCCAGUCUUGAAACAGAGCUGGGGAGGUUGCUCAGAAAUAGAGAGCGUCCGAGAUGGGAAGGGUCUGGCCUUUGAGGACAGAGCUGCUCACAGCAGCUGGAUGGCUGCCCGCUCUGGAACUGGAGCAUGGGACAGUUUAUGAACUUAAAGCACAUUUUCCAACCUUAUGGGAUUUUCCUUAUGAUCUGUUC